GACGAAGGGGGCUAGCGUUGUUCGGAAUUAUUGGGCGUAAAGGGCGCGUAGGCGGCUAGAUGUGUCAAAGGUGAAAUCCCUCGGCUCAACUGAGGAACUGCCUUUGAAACUGUCUGGCUUGAGGCCGGGAGAGGGUAGCGGAAUUCCCAGUGUAGCGGUGAAAUGCGUAGAUAUUGGGAGGAACACCAGUGGCGAAGGCGGCUACCUGGACCGGUUCUGACGCUGAGGCGCGAAAGCGUGGGUAGCAAACAGG
Molecule: ribosomal RNA, 253 nt
Filed under: uncultured bacterium
Lineage: Bacteria
Description: partial 16S ribosomal RNA
Rfam family: Bacterial small subunit ribosomal RNA
Source: RNAcentral